AGAGUUUGAUCCUGGCUCAGGAUGAACGCUAGCGGCAGGCUUAAUACAUGCAAGUCGAGGGGCAGCGCGGUAGCAAUACUGGCGGCGACCGGCAAACGGGUGCGGAACACGUACGCAACUUACCCCUAACUAAAGGAUAGCCCAGAGAAAUUUGGAUUAACCCUUUAUAGUACAACUGGACUGCAUGGUUUGGUUGUUAA
RNAcentral lists this ribosomal RNA (200 nucleotides) under uncultured bacterium. RNAcentral's name for it is "partial 16S ribosomal RNA". It matches the Rfam family "Bacterial small subunit ribosomal RNA", at positions 8 to 204 of the family's 1533-position model. The record is from RNAcentral.